GUGAAUACAUCAGCUUUCAUUCAUUCAUCAUUUUUGUGUUUAUAACAUAUCAAUUAGAAACAAAAUUCUAUGAGGAACCCUAAUAACCCCAACCCCAACCCUAUCAUCAUCUUUUGAAUUUCCCUAAAUCGAUGCUAUUUACAGUUCCUUCUCUACUCGUGCUGAAUCAUUCCCUCUCUCUUCGCGCUCCUCUAUACAACAACCUCUCUACUCGCGGUUUAUGGUGUGUGUUCUUUCAAUUGAUGACUCCGUUGUUGAAUCUCCGAUGCCAGUGGGUGAAAGAGCUCAACGGCGAGUCCAAUUUAGAAGCGUAGUCUCACCGGACGGUUACAUCUCCAUAUGCGGCUUUAGAUUUCUUCUCUCUGAGAAAAUGUGAUAGAUGCUGUUUACACGCACACUUACACUCCUUUUUCUGUCGUGUCUUGACGGUUGUGGUUAAUUUCUUCUUCACUCGCAACAUUGUCAAUCUCAAAACUGAGGUCUUUCCUGAAUCACUAGAUGAGGAGCUCUCUGUCAAUCCAGCACAUAUAUAGUUGUCUUUGGAACUGGACUGGUAGCUGCCUUUCUUUUCCCAUAUUUGAUGAAGAAUGAUCUAUUUCCAAAUUUAGCAUAUGGGACAAGUCAAGCAUGGAUAUAAAAUAUGCAAGUAGAUUGACAUCUUUUUGAUAAAUAUUAAUUACUAUUUUGUUAUGACAAUUAUUGUUAGACAAGAAUUUUAUUA
This is a long non-coding RNA of Arachis duranensis, 721 nucleotides long. RefSeq lists it as uncharacterized. The record is from RefSeq and is a predicted model, not a curated record. Lineage: Eukaryota; Viridiplantae; Streptophyta; Magnoliopsida; Fabales; Fabaceae. The transcript has 5 exons.